AGGGAGAAAAGCCCGCCCGAGGCGCGGUGCUGACGGUGGCUGGGCUGCCGGGUGCGCUGUGGAACCGCCUCCUGCUAGAGCAGCGGGCUGGCGACGGUCCUCGCCGGGGCGGGAAGCGGCUCAGGCUGCCCUCGCUGGCCUGCGGCGGCGCGGCUGGAAGCGCGGGCCACUCGUGCGUGGGUCACUCAGGACUGCGCCUCGCGCGACUGUGUGUGCAGGAAACAAGCAGGAAAUACCCUAAAAGAGAAUGAAGCGCCAUGUUGAGGGUCGCGGACGUCGCGAGUGCUGUGGGAAUGUGGGCUGAGGUGGAGAGUUAUGGUAGCCCGUGUUACAGGCUCAGGGGUCUGAAAGAAGCCUAAUCGUGGAGGCGGCAUCUGAGGAGGGUCUUGAAGGCUGGGCAGGCAUUUGCCCGACAGAGAUGGAGGAAGCUAGUCCUGUCUGAUGGAGGAAACAGGGCGGAGGCGUGGAGGGAGCCGUGCAGCGCUGGUGUGAGGAGCAGCGAGCAGGCCAGGCCUGUAAAGCAGAGUGAGGGAACCAGGAUAGAGAAGGCUGUACAGGAAGCAUGGUGAUGGCAUCUGCAUGGCGCCUGUGGAGGCCCCAGGGAGCUUUUACUCAUGAUGGAAGGCACAGAGGGAGUAGGCACAUCACAUGGUCCGAGGAGGAGCAAGAGAAAAUGGGAGUGGGGCUCUUUGUCCUGGGAAGAGUUUGCUGCAUCUUCCAGUUUCAGUAAUCAAAGAAGCAAAGUUCCCUGCAGUUCUUCAAGGAACCUUGAGAAUUCAGAAGGUCUUGGGGUGGCUGCAUCCAUCCUGCAGACAAAUGCCAAUCAGCAGAGGGGCCAUUCCCAGGGACACAUGUCUGGCUGACUUGGGCCUUGGCCAGAAUUAAGAUGAUCUUUGAGCAGCGCGUUAUAGUUUCCCAAACAAGAAUGUGAGAAACACCGGAAGAAUACGCCCAGCCUCAGCCCGAAACACCGCGGGAAUACGCCCGGCCUCAGCCUGGGACACCGGAAGAAUAAGCCCGGCCUCAGCCUGGAACACCGGAAGAACACGCCCGGCCUCAGCCCGGAACACCGGAAGAACACGCCCGGCCUCAGCCCGGGACACCGCGGGAACACGCCCGGCCUCAGCCCGGGACACCGCGGGAACACGCCCGGCCUCAGCCCGGAACACCGGAAGAACACGCCCGGCCUCAGCCCGGGACACCGCGGGAACACGCCCGGCCUCAGCCCGGGACACCGCGGGAACACGCCCGGCCUCAGCCCGGAACACCUGAAGAACACGCCCGGCCUCAGCCCGGGACACCGCGGGAACACGCCCGGCCUCAGCCCGGGACACCGCGGGAACACGCCCGGCCUCAGCCCGGGACACCGCGGGAACACGCCCGGCCUCAGCUCGGAACACCGGAAGAACACCGGAAGAACACGCCCGGCCUCAGCCCGGGACACCGCGGGAACACGCCCAGCCUCAGCCUGGAACACUGCGGGAAUACGCCCAGCCUCAGUUUUGAAAUAUUGCAUCAGUUCUUCUGCUCCUACAUCAUGGAGCUCUUCCUCAUCAAUAGAUUUAAUUAAUUUAAAUAUUUAUUUACAAUAGCCUCUUUUAUCUUGACCUGUUCUGCACAAGGCAGUCCUGGAUACUGUGCUGAGGGUUUCACUCCGCGAUAGCCGGUGCCCUACCCGAGUCUCUGCACAGCGGCUACAUCCCCGUCUCAAACCAGUGCUCUGGCGUCUGUGUUUACCCUCCCUGAGCUUACUGUAUAAAAAAGACUGCUUUUGAGAGACAUCAAGAAUGCACGGUUCCACCUUUAUGAUGAGAGACAGAUCCCAUUAAAAGAAAAGUUCUGCAUUCUGAAAAACUGAGUAGGUUGGCACUUAAAAGGGAAUUCCAGCUGGUUAAUUUAGGGUGCUGAAAAAAAGAUCCGGCACAGGAAUGCUUUCUGGCUGUGGGCCCACUGCAUUUUCAACUGAUUGCGAACUGGAGACGUUUUCAUCACACGAGGGACUCCGCUUUUCAGUAUCAUGUUGUUCUGAGACAGGAAAACAAGUGAGCACACACGGUUUGGCCCUGGUAUCCUAGCUAUAUUCACGAACAUGAUCAAUGCCAGUUGCAUGGAAACCAAAGAUAGCCUUAUGCUUGCCGAUAUAUUAAAAGUAAAAAAAAAAUCUGAAUGAAAAUUUUAAAAAUAUUUUCCGUCUUGAAGUUUUUUUUUAUUCUUGCCUCCUAAUUUUCUUUUCUGUUGUGUCUAAGAAAAUAUUCUGAAGAUAUGAAAAGAGCUUUAGGUAAAAGAACAGUUUUGAAAAUUGUUAAUUUCCUGUGGUAUUUUUUUUCUUCAG
Molecule: long non-coding RNA, 2332 nt
Filed under: Homo sapiens (human)
Lineage: Eukaryota; Metazoa; Chordata; Mammalia; Primates; Hominidae
Description: HSALNT0082851
Source: RNAcentral